UCCAAAAGAAGGGAGGAGCUGGCAUCACACCCAUGGUUUAAUGCUAACCAGGAACAAUGCUGUAGAUGCUGCUGAAAGUGAAGGACCUGCUCCAACUUAAGGACCUGCUCCAACUUCUGAGAAACUACAAGGUCACAAUCAACCACCAAGUGGUCACCUGAAAGAAAAGAAGAGGAAAUUUGCAGCUCUUUUCACAAGAAACCAAGAGGACCCAAACCCAGUUCCCAGCACCCACAAGGAGGCCCAUAAAUUCCACAACUCCAGCAUCCAGAUCUCCAUGGUCAAGG
Molecule: long non-coding RNA, 287 nt
Filed under: Rattus norvegicus (Norway rat)
Lineage: Eukaryota; Metazoa; Chordata; Mammalia; Rodentia; Muridae
Description: long non-coding RNA NONRATT034133
Source: RNAcentral